CCCUCCUCCAGGAGCCUCAACACCCUCAGCCCUCAGAGCUCCGGCCGCAGCCUCUGGAUGAGGACAGGGAUGGAGCACAAGGUGUCCCCCCCUGCCCUCCCCCCUGAGGUGGACACAGCGGUGGCCGCGCGGCAAAGGGCCCUGGUGGCCCUGGUGGCUUUGUCUGAGGCCCUGGGGACACCGGACAGUGUCCCAUCUGCGCUGGCCGAAGCCGUGGCUGCCCUGGACCAGGCCCAGGAGGCCCAGAGGGGACUGGAGAGGGCCCGGGAGGCCGCGGUGGCCCCGGCAGUGGCACUGGGAACCCUGGGGGAUGAGAACGAGCAGAGGCUGUGGCAGCUCGGGGCCGUGGCCAAGGCGGCGGCGGCGGCGCUGGAACGUGAGGAGAGACGGGCACGGCGGUGCCAGCGCUGGCUGCAGGCUGGGCACAGGCUGGCCGUGGGGCUGAUGGUGCUGUGCGGGGCUGUGUUGUCCCUGGACUCGGUCCGCGUUGCCCUGGGGGUGAGCGAGGACAAUCACCUGCUGAUGGCCCUGGCCGCGGUGGCCGUGUCCUGCGAGGUGGCCAGGCAGGGUUUGGGGACAUCGCGGCGUCACCUGGCCACCGCCGCGAGCCACCAGCGGGACAUGGCCCGGCGCCUGCGGGACCGUGCC
RNAcentral lists this long non-coding RNA (648 nucleotides) under Lonchura striata (white-rumped munia). RNAcentral's name for it is "domestica (Bengalese finch) lncRNA (ENSLSDG00000002899.1)". The record is from RNAcentral. Lineage: Eukaryota; Metazoa; Chordata; Aves; Passeriformes; Estrildidae.